GGAUAACCUACCUAUAAGACUGGGAUAACUUCGGGAAACCGGAGCUAAUACCGGAUAAUAUUUUGAACCGCAUGGUUCAAAAGUGAAAGACGGUCUUGCUGUCACUUAUAGAUGGAUCCGCGCUGCAUUAGCUAGUUGGUAAGGUAACGGCUUACCAAGGCAACGAUGCAUAGCCGACCUGAGAGGGUGAUCGGCCACACUGGAACUGAGACACGGUCCAGACUCCUACGGGAGGCAGCAGUAGGGAAUCUUCCGCAAUGGGCGAAAGCCUGACGGAGCAACGCCGCGUGAGUGAUGAAGGUCUUCGGAUCGUAAAACUCUGUUAUUAGGGAAGAACAUAUGUGUAAGUAACUGUGCACAUCUUGACGGUACCUAAUCAGAAAGCCACGGCUAACUACGUGCCAGCAGCCGCGGUAAUACGUAGGUGGCAAGCGUUAUCCGGAAUUAUUGGGCGUAAAGCGCGCGUAGGCGGUUUUUUAAGUCUGAUGUGAAAGCCCACGGCUCAACCGUGGAGGGUCAUUGGAAACUGGAAAACUUGAGUGCAGAAGAGGAAAGUGGAAUUCCAUGUGUAGCGGUGAAAUGCGCAGAGAUAUGGAGGAACACCAGUGGCGAAGGCGACUUUCUGGUCUGUAACUGACGCUGAUGUGCGAAAGCGUGGGGAUCAAACAGGAUUAGAUACCCUGGUAGUCCACGCCGUAAACGAUGAGUGCUAAGUGUUAGGGGGUUUCCGCCCCUUAGUGCUGCAGCUAACGCAUUAAGCACUCCGCCUGGGGAGUACGACCGCAAGGUUGAAACUCAAAGGAAUUGACGGGGACCCGCACAAGCGGUGGAGCAUGUGGUUUAAUUCGAAGCAACGCGAAGAACCUUACCAAAUCUUGACAUCCUUUGACAACUCUAGAGAUAGAGCCUUCCCCUUCGGGGGACAAAGUGACAGGUGGUGCAUGGUUGUCGUCAGCUCGUGUCGUGAGAUGUUGGGUUAAGUCCCGCAACGAGCGCAACCCUUAAGCUUAGUUGCCAUCAUUAAGUUGGGCACUCUAAGUUGACUGCCGGUGACAAACCGGAGGAAGGUGGGGAUGACGUCAAAUCAUCAUGCCCCUUAUGAUUUGGGCUACACACGUGCUACAAUGGACAAUACAAAGGGCAGCGAAACCGCGAGGUCAAGCAAAUCCC
Molecule: ribosomal RNA, 1170 nt
Filed under: Staphylococcus aureus
Lineage: Bacteria; Bacillati; Bacillota; Bacilli; Caryophanales; Staphylococcaceae
Description: bacterial SSU rRNA
Rfam family: Bacterial small subunit ribosomal RNA
Source: RNAcentral